Molecule: ribosomal RNA, 1404 nt
Filed under: Sclerophrys steindachneri (Steindachner's toad)
Lineage: Eukaryota; Metazoa; Chordata; Amphibia; Anura; Bufonidae
Description: partial 16S ribosomal RNA
Rfam family: Bacterial large subunit ribosomal RNA
Source: RNAcentral
GCUAAAAACCUAGCCCAACAAACCUGAAUUUAACCAGAUUAAUUACACCGCUUAAUUAAAUCAUUUUUUCCUCUUUAGUAAAGGAGAUUGAAAAACUAAUUGGAGCUAUAGCAAUAGUACCGCAAGGGAACAGUGAAAUAUUUAAUGAAACCUUUAAGCAAUAAAAAGUAAUGAUUAUCACAUGUACCUUUUGCAUCAUGGUUUAACUAGUCUAAUCAAGCAAAACGCAUUUUAGUUUGACUUCCCGAAACUAAGUGAGCUACUUCGAGGCAGCUGAAAGAGCCAACCCGUCUCUGUUGCAAAAGAGUGGGAUGACCUCCAAGUAGCGGUGACAGACCUAACGAACUUAGUGAUAGCUGGUUACUCAAGAAAAGGAUCUAAGUCCAACCUAAAAUUCUAUACCACAGUGAAUAAAAACAACAACCUGAAUUUUAACGUAAUUCAAAUAAGGUACAGCCUAUUUGAAACAGGAGACAACCUAAGCCAAUGGAUAAAAUUAGCUGAUUAUUCAACCAAGUGGGCCCAAAAGCAGCCAUCUUUUAAAUUGCGUCAAAGCUUAAUUGUUUACACGCCUAAUUCCUUUAUCUUCAUAUAAUCCUUCAUUAGUACUGAGUAAUUCUAUAUCAUUAUAGAAAAUUUUAUGUUAAAACUAGUAACAAGAAGAAGACCCUUCUCUAAAAUGUAAGUGUAAAUCAGAAAGGACAAACCACUGAUAUUUAACAUAUAUUGGACUUAAGGUAAUAACUUAUCAAGAAAAUUUUACCUACACUUUUGUUAACCUAACACAAGAACAUUUCAAGAAAGAUUAAAAGAAAAAGAAGGAACUCGGCAAAUAAUAACCUCGCCUGUUUACCAAAAACAUCGCCUCUUGUAUAACAUAAGAGGUCCAGCCUGCCCAGUGACAUUGUUCAACGGCCGCGGUAUCCUAACCGUGCGAAGGUAGCGUAAUCACUUGUUCUUUAAUUGUGGACUAGUAUGAAUGGCACCACGAGGGUUAUACUGUCUCCUUUUUCUAAUCAGUGAAACUAAUCUCCCCGUGAAGAAGCGAGGAUAAAAAUAUAAGACGAGAAGACCCUAUGGAGCUUUAAACAUCAUAGCAAUUACCAAUAAUUUUAGAAAUUUCCGAAUCAUUUAAUCCUUAAGGUAAUAUGACUAUAAGUUUUUGGUUGGGGUGACCGCGGAGCAUAAUGAAACCUCCAUGUUGAAUGAUAAAUUUCUUAGCUAAGAUCAACAUAUCUAAGCAUCAGCAAACUGACAUUCAUUGACCCAAUAUUAUUGAGCAACGAACCAAGUUACCCUAGGGAUAACAGCGCAAUCCACUUCAAGAGCUCCUAUCGACAAGUGGGUUUACGACCUCGAUGUUGGAUCAAGGUAUCCCAGUGGUGCAGCCGCUACUAAACGUGC